RNAcentral lists this ribosomal RNA (826 nucleotides) under Otidea formicarum. Its description in RNAcentral is "eukaryotic LSU rRNA". The stretch from base 447 to 600 matches the Rfam family "5.8S ribosomal RNA". The record is from RNAcentral. Lineage: Eukaryota; Fungi; Ascomycota; Pezizomycetes; Pezizales; Pyronemataceae.
AAGGUUUCCGUAGGUGAACCUGCGGAAGGAUCAUUAAAUUGAUUACAAUGCAAGGUUUCAGAUUUGAAAUGGUGCGUGACAAUAGGAAUAACGCGCGGUGUUUCUCCGAUGCUGAAUUACGCACGACAUUUUUCCAUUCGUGAAUCAUGCAUGACGUUUUUCCAUUGGUGAAACCACGCUUGCAAGACGUUUUUCCAAUGACUUAACUGUAAAAAAACACGCACUGCUUCGGCUGUUGCCCUGCAUUGUUGCCAAUUUCAACACAAUCUGCGUACCUUUCCUGUUGCUUCCGUGGGAUGGAGCUGUGCCUGAUAGCUCUGGCCAAGUUGGUUGGGGUUCUUGGCAGCGGCUUUAGCUGGCCGGGUUGGCUGGUUCCUGCGGAAGGUAAUUUUCAAAUCAUUUGCUUUUAUUUUGCCUUCUGUCUGAGACAUGUUUAUAAUCGUUAAAACUUUCAACAACGGAUCUCUUGGUUCUCGCAUCGAUGAAGAACGCAGCGAAAUGCGAUAAGUAGUGUGAAUUGCAGAAUUCAGUGAAUCAUCGAAUCUUUGAACGCACAUUGCGCCUCCUGGUAUUCCGGGAGGCAUGCCUGUUCGAGCGUCAUGAAAGAAAGUUCAAGCAAGGUUUCUUGCUUGGUUUUGAAGGUUGAGCGUUGCCUUUGUGCUCGUUUAACUUUGAAAUUGAGAGGCGGACUGCUUCGUGUUCCACUAGGCGUUAUAGGAUAACUUUUUCGCUUGGACUCGUGAGGAUGUUCUGUUCUAAACCUCCUUCAUUUAUUCAUGGUUGACCUCGGAUCAGGUAGGGAUACCCGCUGAACUUAAGCAUAUCA